Long non-coding RNA from Acinonyx jubatus (cheetah), 2971 nucleotides. RefSeq lists it as uncharacterized. The transcript is spliced from 3 exons. Lineage: Eukaryota; Metazoa; Chordata; Mammalia; Carnivora; Felidae. The record is from RefSeq and is a predicted model, not a curated record.
ACUGACAUCUGAACAUCCCACAUCACACAGGGGUUGUGCUUUGAAACAAUAAAAAAGAGAGAAGACAGUAACAACCACAAAAUGCCUCCAUAUACACGACAGGCACCUCAAUCAAAGCCCUGGUGAACAUUCUCACAGAGAUUGCUUAAAAUUCCAAAGCACACCCCUCUCCACUGGUAGAACUGCAGGCUAUCACCGAGGGCACACCAUUUCCCAGCACUUGACCUUGAGUUGAAGCACCUGGUAAUAUGGCCUUUCUUGUUUGCUUAUCAUUUUCCUUUUUACCUUCUCUAUCUUCCCAAGUUAAAAUAGUGAGAGAGCCGCGAGAAAUCACCAAGAGUUGCUUUAACAAUCUAAUAGUUUAGAUAAUACUGCAUCUUAAGGAACACAUCCCUCCGUCAUAGGAAAGGAGGAGAGGAGGGAAACAAAAUCAUGACAAGGAACCAGGAGAGCUGCCAGGAAGACCGAGAGGCGAGAAGAGUUUCCGUGUGAGGAACCUGGAAGGUUCAAUGCUAAAACUUACACUGAAAUUGCCAGAGACAUAGGUAUUUUGGCCUAUUUCCUGUCACAGCUAUUAUUCUCUUUGUUCAGUACCAAGCACUAAAACUCAUUUUGGAAUCAUGGCGGCCAGGAAAGGAAGACGAGGUGACUCUAGGGGAGAGAACAGAACUCCCCAAGUGGUGAGGAUUAAACUUCUUUAUGAACUUCCAUAGCAAACUUUGCCAGUAGGAUGUGUGAUUGGGGAUGGCCAAGUAGAUUUCCCCCAUGAUGUGACAAAGGAAGCGAAAAAGAAAUGAAGGUUACCAGAAAACAACAAUAACGGCCCCAGAAGGGAGUAGCUUUGUUCUUGGUCUCAUUUACCUUUCUGUCUACCAGGCUUUACCCAAACAGGGUUAUGCAGAUGAUUCUUUCAUGUAAGCAACAGAAAGCAAGAGGUCAAGGAGAGGUGUGAGCUGCCCAGGUGCCAAUGACCAAAUGGACAAGCCUGGCUUGGAGAGAAAUCAAAGUCACAAUAUGAGAGGAAUUACAUCUUGCUCCCAUCUCAGUGAGAAACAGUUUCAUGCAGAGGCUGCUGCUCAGUAGGAAUUCCUGGGGUCUGAAAUUGACUUAACUUUUGUCUGCCUCUCCAUAAAACACCUAGCACCCAGGACCACUAAAAUCUACCACAAAUGGGAAAGUACCCUCAUUUUCUGUAUACCGUCGGCAGCUUCAGUCUUACGCAGAUAUGGAUUUUGUCAAGCUAUCCUUUCAAGCUAUGCUUCAGGUUAUCUUCUUCAUUUCUAUUAUAAUCUUGAUACUGAGCACAAUAGCUCCAUGGAAUAAUUCUGUUAUUUUAUGCCUUUAUGCCCCCACGAAUCCUCUUAUCUCCCCCCACCCCAAAGACUAUCGCUGUAGCAUAACAGGGAAUGGUCAUCUCAUGGGAUUAUGAUGCUCUACAUGCUCACCAGCGGUUGGCCACGUUACAUCAUUGAUGUUACAAGCACCACGACCCAUGUGUCUGUAAUGGCACUCAUGUGAAGGAUGACGUCACUGUGGAGUCAAGAUAGAAUGACCCUGACCCCUCUCUUAGUUUACUGUGAUACCAUCAUGAUUUCAUGUGGCAUAUGGAAAAUCGAAAAGUAGAGAAAGGAUAUUUGUAAUUGGCUGAAUUCUUAACUUUGACCUUAAGGAAGAUUCAAGUACCCUCCUCUACAUCAUCCCUCUACAUGAGAAUAAAACUUACCUCCUCUCUAAGCCCAUAUUCUUUCCUGAAACCAGGUUCCUGAAGCAGCCUCUGGGAAUGACUACACUGUAUAAUUGACUAUAUAGAGGAUUUCCCACACCCAUCUAAGGACCUUUCCAUCUUCCUACUUCCUGUCCUGUCUUCCCUCUGGGGACAGGAUGAUCUAACGAAGUUAAAAAAAAUCCACAUCGAGUCUCCUUUCUUCCUACAGACAUGAAGUCUUGAUAUUUUCCCUGCUCCUGACCCUGGAAGAAGAAAAAUUUGUGAAUCUCCCAAGGCACAUAUUGCUAUUCCUGUCCCCAGUGAGGAUAGACCUCUCUACCCUGCUCAUAGUGUCGUCAAGAAGAGAUGUGGGCACAUAUGGGUGCCGACAGGGCAAAUGUGGUGUCACCAGCUUGACUCUGCAUGGAAUGCUGGUCAUCCGCGGUCUACCUAGGAGACAGGAGCAGGACCUGGGUUCUGCUUAGGGCCAAGCCGGACCCAGUGCCAAGCCCAGGCUGAUGGGCACGGACACUUCUCACAGACCAAGAAGAUUGGUGAGGUGGGGAGGCGUGGGCACAGAUUACUUUUCCCUGGCAUUUUCACCACAGUGGCCUCCAGUCACAUACACUUUUCCCCAGACGCCCUGAAGCAAAAGCCAUACAAAACAAUUCCCCCAAUGGAAAAUGAAAACCCAUAACAAAACACUUUUCCCCUCUUCAUUCCCAUCCCCACCCCACUCCCUCCAGCCCGACACCCUGAAUACUCACAAGAGAACACUUUAUCUAUACAAAAUUAAUUAGAAAACAAAAUAUUUACAUAUGAAAUAAACACCAUCUUGAUUUCCAUCACCAGUGGAGACCGACAGAGCCCCCUUUGUUCUAGAUUGCUGUUCGCUAGGUUAGUUGGUUUGGUUUUUUAUUUGAAAGGGGUGAGGUAAGAGGAAGAGUGAGGGGAGGAUCCCCUGACCUCAGACAGAGUCAGGGUGAAGCGAUGUUUAUAUGGCCCUUCUCCUUCUUCCUCCUGGAGACGCCUCACGCCCUCUGUCCUCUCUCUCAAAGUCUCUCCUUGAAUCUAAGGUAAAGCACUCCGUGCUCCUCUCUCCAAAUCUGUGAGAGGUUCAGCCCCUUGCCCCCAGGUUCGUUUUAGAAAGAAAACAUAGCUUUACAAGGCCUUCAGUUGGCUUUAAAAUGAAAGAUACUGAGGUAAAAAUCCAGGAGGAGGACAGGGGACAGCAGUCAAGGGCAGGGAAGGAGGAAGGGUGGUGAG